AGAGUUUGAUCAUGGCUCAGAACGAACGCUGGCGGCGCGUUUUAAGCAUGCAAGUCGAGCGGUAAGCUAACUUCGGUUAGCCUAGAGCGGCGGACGGGUGAGUAACACGUGGAUAAUCUACCCCCUUGUUUGGGAUAGCCUGUGGAAACAUAGGGUAAUACCAAAUAAUACUCUUUUAUCACAAGAUAAGAGAAGGAAAGGCGCCUCAAAGCGUCGCAAGAGGAUGAGUCUGCGUCCCAUUAGCUAGACGGCAGGGUAAAAGCCUACCGUGGCAAUGAUGGGUAGCCGGCCUGAGAGGGUGAUCGGCCACAUUGGAACUGAGAUACGGUCCAGACUCCUACGGGGGGCAGCAGCUAAGAAUCUUCCGCAAUGGACGAAAGUCUGACGGAGCGACGCCGCGUGAACGAUGAAGGCCGUGAGGUUGUAAAGUUCUUUUCGGGAGGAGGAAUAAUGUUUGCAGGAAAUGGCAAGCAGACGACGUGAAUCCCGGAAUAAGCCCCGGCUAACUACGUGCCAGCAGCCGCGGUAACACGUAGGGGGCAAGCGUUGUUCGGAAUCAUUGGGCGUAAAGGGCGUGCAGGCGGUGUUGCAAGUCUGGCGUGAAAGAUCUCGGCUUAACCGAGGGAACGCGCUGGAAACUGUAAUACUAGAGUACAGGAGGGGACAUUGGAAUUCCAGGUGUAGGGGUGGAAUCUGUAGA
Molecule: ribosomal RNA, 700 nt
Filed under: uncultured bacterium
Lineage: Bacteria
Description: bacterial SSU rRNA
Rfam family: Bacterial small subunit ribosomal RNA
Source: RNAcentral